CCCCGAAUCAAGUCCUUACAUUUUAACCUGCAUUGCUGAGAAAUUCCUUCUCUGGUCUCAGACGAUUCAGCGCAUGCCAAGAAUGCUGGCUCCGUUUAGGAAUUUGAAGAAAACAACCAUUGGUCCGUCUCCUGUUCUUCAGAGCCGCCCAGAGUUCUCUUGCAUUCCCUAACAUCUGGGAUUGCAACGACCAUGCAAAUUGUCCUCGCUCCUCUGCUCUCCGUGCUCCCCACACCCGGCCCCCUCCCUCCUGUCUUCUCAGCUUCUGACAGGUGUUAGCAAGAAUCUAAAGUUCAAAAGUUUCUCCAGGUCAGGAAUCCAGGAGCAGCUCAGCUGGAUGGUUCUGGCUCAGGAUCUCUCAUGAAGCCGGAAUUAGAUAUUGGCUGUGGCUGUGGUCAUCUAAAGGCCUGACGUGGGCUGGCGGCAUCUUUACUACCUGGCUAUUGGCGGGAGGCAGCGUUGCUCACCACGUGGACUCCUCCACGGGGCUGCUUGAGUGUUCUCACAACGUGGCAGCUGGCUUCCCCCCCCGCCCCCCCCAGCAGGCGAUCCAAAAGACAGCAAGGCAGAAGCCGCAGCAUCUUUAUGACGCAGCCCCAGAAGUCAGGCAUCGUCAUUUCCUCAACGUCCUAUUGGUCAUUGGGCGAGCCCUUUUCAGUGUGGGAGGGGCCAUGCAAAGGCGUGAAAAUCAGGAGACGAGAUGCCUGGGGGCCACGUUGGAGGCUGGCUGUGACAGUACUCUUUUCAGUUCCAUUUGCAGAUGAGAAAAAUUCCAAUUAAUAAAUGGAGAAGGAAUGAGGGAAAGAGAAAUAAUUGCUGUAGGCAAGACCCACUGCUGGAUGCUAAAAUUAGUGGGGAAAGGGUGAGGCGGAACAAGAGAGUCUCAAAGGAUCUCCCCCAGGAUAUUUAUUAAUUGCAAAGGGAAAGAGGGCAACUUCACAGUGGAGAAACCCAGCAGACGCCACCGUAACUAAGUGAUCGGCGUCUACGUCACCGGUAAAGGAGACACGGACAUCAUGGGCCGCCUGACACAGCACCGAGAAGGAUAGAGCUUGACUUCUCUGAUGUUCAUGCCCAAAAUGUGCAAUCUCAAUCCAGUCAUGAGAUUGAGAAAUACCCUGCAAAACACCUGGCCAGUACUCCUCAGAGGUGUCAAGGAAAGUGACGAAGAAAGACUUAGGAACCGUCACCACCAAGAAGAGACUAAGGAAAGGCCGGCCUGGUGGCGCAGCGGUUAAGUACGCACAUUCUGCUUUGGUGGCCCUGGGUUCUCUGGUUCAGAUCCCGGGUGUGGACAUGGCACCGCUUAUCAAGCCAUGCUGUGGAAAUGCUUAGGCACAACUUUUCUCCAAGACUUGAAGCAGCGGCCAGAAGCUACGAAGGCAAAUCGAUGGCGUGUUGUGCAGCCGCUCGGCGACCAUGUUUGGGGACGUGAAUUUCCAAGACGGUAGAUGACUGUCAAAUUCCAAACAAAGCGAAGGCUGAUUGUUCCAGGAUUUCCGUGGCCGUUAACGUCGUCGAAUAUUCUGUGUAUGACAACGUUGUACCAAAUGCACUUUAUGGUUAUACACAAAACAGAGUUUUAGAAAAUGUGGCUCCUGGAGAAUUUACACGUACAUGAGUGGUGUGUGUCCUAAUCUGGCAGGCAGUGCUGAUCCGGAUGUGGGCUGUGAGUGUGGACAGCCCGUGUGCUGAGGGCACGGGGUCGGAGGGGAGGGACACGAGGAAGGCGUUUUGCCUUAGCCCGAGGCCCAAGGUUAACUGCACUUAUAACCACAGCUCUCUCUCUUUUUGUUUUUGUUUUUUAUUGAGUUGAAAUUCACAUAACAUAAAAUUAACCGUUUAACGUGAUAUUUACUGCAUCCACAAUGUUAUGCAACUACCACCUCUAAUUCCAAAACAUUUUCAUCAGCCCUAAAGGAAAUCUUGUACCCAUAAGCAGGUUGUCUCCAUUCUCCCUGAACCCCAACUUCUG
RNAcentral lists this long non-coding RNA (1975 nucleotides) under Equus caballus (horse). Its description in RNAcentral is "lncRNA (ENSECAG00000056537.1)". Lineage: Eukaryota; Metazoa; Chordata; Mammalia; Perissodactyla; Equidae. The record is from RNAcentral.